This is a long non-coding RNA of Oncorhynchus keta (chum salmon), 2499 nucleotides long. RefSeq lists it as uncharacterized. NCBI's taxonomy places the organism in Eukaryota, Metazoa, Chordata, Actinopteri, Salmoniformes, Salmonidae. The record is from RefSeq and is a predicted model, not a curated record. The transcript is spliced from 2 exons.
UUGUCACGAGCGAACUUCCUGAUGCAACAGUAUGGUAACUGCGGGAAACGGACAAGCUCACCUUUUGAUCCGAGGCACUCCGAGCAGUCUUUUGGAGGCUAUUCGAUUUUACAAUUCAAUGCUCAUCAAUCCCCUUCCAAGUUGUGAUAGGAUAUAAAAACAAUAUUGAGCGCAUCUAAGCUUAAACUGUAUUUUGUCCUCCCUACCGGAGACUCCAGGGAGCUCUCCAGCUUGCCAACCAUUGGCGCAUGAAACCUUCAGCCUAUACGUUGAUUCAGUGAGUCAUCACGACGUUAUAGGAAGAGUUUGGUCUGCACUUGGCGUGUCCCUGCAUUUCCCGGUCCUAUAGCUGGCUAGCAGCUCUCGUCUCCGCAACUCUCGUCUCCGCUGCGCACGGUGAGCGCCCGGUAGCCUACCUAUCAUACCCUUGGCGGAGAUGGGUCUGCUCGCUUGUGUCUGUUGGAGUUUGGAGGGGUGCUGGUCGUUUGAGAACACGUGACCUAAUCUGAUCAUACGAUUGUGUCUAGGAUUUGGAAGAAGGGGUUUUCUGGCUACAUCGUGCGCUCGAGGCUCGAAGGUUUUACGCUCAUAGCCUAUAUGUUUUUCCCUCCACUCUCUCUCUAGCUCGCUUGUGCCACCGCUCCGCCUACCCUUUUCGCAACAUUGACGCAACCUAUAAAUACUGGAACAAAAGAACAACUUCCUUGACUCCUGCUGAAAUUGCACUUAAUCGGGACACGGAUCCCUGUUGUCAAGUGAAAGGAAAUAUUGAUACUGGGGUUUAUCUGGCAGCGAUUUGAGCUGUGUCAUCCCACUCGAACACUGGUCUCCGAGGCGCAUAUGUGUGAACAAAGGACUGGGGAUAGUCGGCUCGGCAGAGAGCGUCAGUGGAAAGCAGGCGGGCUGUUUACAAUAAUAACACGAUCCCGGUGACGUCACCUAACUGACAGAAGCCUCCGCCAGAGGUAAAGCCGCUUAACCAUCGCCAACACUCUAUACUUGGAAAGUGGUUACAUCAUCGAGGUACAGAAGGAGGGCGGGACUUCCGAAGGAGUUCAAGAGCUGUUCUGAGUUCAGACAGCCAAAGUGUGAGACUAAUGGAGUUGUACGUUUUAAAAUAGGAAACAAUAUUUGUUUAUAGUGUUGUACAGUUUUUGCAGUUCAUGUUUGCUUUGAACGCUAGAGGAACAAAUACUUCACAUAUUAAACUUGAUUUGAUAGCCUGUUAUGGGUUUCAUCUCAUAGCCUUGCCUACUCCUAAAGGUAUUCACCAAUGAAUCCAGUAUUCACAACAGCCUAUUGUUUGUUCUAUGAAGUUGUGUGAAACAUGGAUGAUAGCCUAAUAUUCACUAUGUGGUUUGAGAAAGUGCCAAGUAGAAGUUUGUCAGGCUUCUCUCCAUUUUCUCUCCCUUUCACCCUGGAUGUGUAAAAUGCAAUUCGUACUCCUGGCGUUUUAAUGUGAUAAGUGUGUGUGUGUGUGUGUCUACACAGCCACAGACUGUGGCUACUUGUGCUGCCUAAGUCCUAAGCAUGCCAAGAAAGUGAGCUCAGUUGGUAGAGCAUGGCGCUUGUAACGCCAGGGUAGUGGGUUCGAUUCCCGGGACCACCCAUACGUAGAAUGUAUGCACACAUGACUGUAAGUCGCUUUGGAUAAAAGCGUCAGCUAAAUGGCAUAUAUUAUUAUUAUAUUAUAUUAUAUUAUAUUAUUAUAUCGUUUAGCAGGUAAAACAUUAAUUUUUUUCUAUGUUGGUAGACACACUUUAGCCAUAUUUUUUUAAAAAUACUAGACCAUAUGAAUGCCUAGGGCGGAGAUCUUUUUUUUACUAAUCGCGAAUUCAACUUGUUUAUGAGUUAUGAAUAUGUAAGGAAAGUGCUAUUAUAAAACAUUAUACAUCUGUGUCCACAUAGUAAGUCCACAUGAGUAAGAGAGAAAGAAAGGGAUAGAGCGAAAGAGAGAGGAGAUACACCAAGGACUAGUGUGACCAGUGCACCGGCUUUGUGUUAAAAAGGGUCAGAGGUCGAUGUUGUGUUUUCAGGGUGACCUGCCAGCGACUAUUAGCCAUUGAUGAAUGUGAUGUUACUCAAGUGUGCUAGUUGGCCCCCUCCCAAAGGGGAGAUGCCCUAACACACCCCCUCUAACCCUACCCCACCUCCACACACACAUGCACACACACACACCACCCCACCCCCUGCACUGCCCUGCUGACAGGAGUACAAGGGGGCAGCUGCUACAGAUGUCUUUUGGAGCGAGGGGGAGGAGCACCAGGGACACAUCAAUAGAGGGGCUCUGGGAGUGUCUCUUUAGAGCACUCUCUCUGGGACUCACAAAGCUGUUUGGAACCAAGAUGUUUGGGACCAAGACAUCUUCAGAUGCAAACAAGUGCAAUAGAGACAGGUUAUGUUAUAUGCAUUUAUGCAGGACUAUGUACGUGUGCUCACAUAUGUAAUAAUGUUAAUAAUAAUCUGUUCAAUAAACAAACUCUAUUUAGGUGCACUGCA